This is a long non-coding RNA of Hypanus sabinus (Atlantic stingray), 5969 nucleotides long. RefSeq lists it as uncharacterized. The record is from RefSeq and is a predicted model, not a curated record. The transcript has 3 exons. NCBI's taxonomy places the organism in Eukaryota, Metazoa, Chordata, Chondrichthyes, Myliobatiformes, Dasyatidae.
GUCGAGAGUCGAGUUGGACCUUCCGGUCGGGAAUCACGCUUUUUUGAAGGCAAUUGGUUGGAGUCGAAAUCGCAGACGCAAGAUAAGCAAGACUCCACAGAAGACCCGAGUGACGGACGAGAGUCGAGUUGGACCUUCCGGUCGGGAAUCACGCUUUUUUGAAGGCAAUUGGUUGGAGUCGAAAUCGCAGACGCAAGAUAAGCAGUAGGAACAUUAUUCUUUUAUUUAUUGUCUUACUUACAUUAUUGUCUUAAUGAUGUGGAAAGGCAAAGAUAGGAGAGGUUGUGUGGAUCGAUACCUGCCACGUGGGCGAGUGGGUAUCUCUGGUUAGUGUCCCUGGGGAUUCCUUCUUAACCACGGUCAGGUUAAAAAUAGUCCAGAACUUUCAUUAUGUGAAAAUUCUGGAAAAAUAGUCCCAACUACCUAAGGGAAUUAAGAAGUAGGCCUACAGAUUCUCCGCAUGGCCUGAGUGAGGCCCAAGGAGCUAGGCCGCCCUGGAAUUAAACCCUUAGAAGUAGUAUGACCUGUACAAUUUUGUGCCUUUCGUUGUCUGGUCUAGGGGGUAGCACAUACGCCAAGCGUGAUUGGCUUGGUUUAAGCCAUUUCAGGGGAGGUGUCGCCUUUCAUUGUCUGGUCCAGGGGUAAUACACACGGCAAGCUUGAUCAACUUGACGGAGCCGGCUCGGGGAGGGUGUCUAAUGUAAAGGCUCGAAACACCCGACGAUCCGAGAGUGCAUUACUGAUGAUGUGUCCUGGCACAUGAUAAUGAGAGGUUUCGAUUUUCCUAUACAAGCAGCUGGCUUAGGAGCUCAGACUUUAAAUUCUGCAGACUAACCUUUGCCAGCUAAACAUAUAGAUCCACCAGCCCUACACUUAAACCUAAUCCUAAAGUCCAAAAGGGGCAUACACCCCCAUAAAUAGGUAAAUUCCAAGAGGGGUAGUCACCCCCAUAAACCCUAGGCAACUUCCAAGGGGGGCAUACACCCCCACAAACCCUAGGCAUUCCCCGAUUAACUUUUGAUAUUCUGUGAGGGGUAGGAUUCAACAAGGGCAAGUGUGGGACCUGGUUAAUGAAGGCGUGGGCCAGAUCAAAGUGGCAGGGUGAUGUGAAACAGAAUCUCAAGUGAAGAGAUCAGAAAUCACAAGAGGGCUUUUUAGCCCACUGCCCGCAUAAUUUCAACCUAACCUAGCAGUGACACGCUCUUCAUUCUCCCGGCCCCAGAAAGGCCAAUAAGAAAACCCAGAUAUUUUAUUUCACCUAUUAGGUGUUAAAAAAUUCAUAGUUAAAAGAAUGGAGAGGUUCACCAAUCAGCAGCUAAUGUACCUUUAAGGGCUGAGGUGAGCCGGUCUCCUAGCAACAGCCAGGUUUGCAGCAGGUGGACAAUUAGGUUUUAGUAUCACAUUAGUUAAAAGAGGCCCUGCGGGGGGAAGAAGGUCAGGGACGUUUUAACUGGAUAGCAGUACUGUCUGGGUUUAGAGACUCCACAGAAGACCCGAGUGACGGACGAGAGUCGAGUUGGACCUUCCGGUCGGGAAUCACGCUUUUUUGAAGGCAAUUGGUUGGAGUCGAAAUCGCAGACGCAAGAUAAGCAGUAGGAACAUUAUUCUUUUAUUUAUUGUCUUACUUACAUUAUUGUCUUAAUGAUGUGGAAAGGCAAAGAUAGGAGAGGUUGUGUGGAUCGAUACCUGCCACGUGGGCGAGUGGGUAUCUCUGGUUAGUGUCCCUGGGGAUUCCUUCUUAACCACGGUCAGGUUAAAAAUAGUCCAGAACUUUCAUUAUGUGAAAAUUCUGGAAAAAUAGUCCCAACUACCUAAGGGAAUUAAGAAGUAGGCCUACAGAUUCUCCGCAUGGCCUGAGUGAGGCCCAAGGAGCUAGGCCGCCCUGGAAUUAAACCCUUAGAAGUAGUAUGACCUGUACAAUUUUGUGCCUUUCGUUGUCUGGUCUAGGGGGUAGCACAUACGCCAAGCGUGAUUGGCUUGGUUUAAGCCAUUUCAGGGGAGGUGUCGCCUUUCAUUGUCUGGUCCAGGGGUAAUACACACGGCAAGCUUGAUCAACUUGACGGAGCCGGCUCGGGGAGGGUGUCUAAUGUAAAGGCUCGAAACACCCGACGAUCCGAGAGUGCAUUACUGAUGAUGUGUCCUGGCACAUGAUAAUGAGAGGUUUCGAUUUUCCUAUACAAGCAGCUGGCUUAGGAGCUCAGACUUUAAAUUCUGCAGACUAACCUUUGCCAGCUAAACAUAUAGAUCCACCAGCCCUACACUUAAACCUAAUCCUAAAGUCCAAAAGGGGCAUACACCCCCAUAAAUAGGCAAAUUCCAAGAGGGGUAGUCACCCCCAUAAACCCUAGGCAACUUCCAAGGGGGGCAUACACCCCCACAAACCCUAGGCAUUCCCCGAUUAACUUUUGAUAUUCUGAGAAGGGUAGGAUUCAACAAGGGCAAGUGUGGGACCUGGUUAAUGAAGGCGUGGGCCAGAUCAAAGUGGCAGGGUGAUGUGAAACAGAAUCUCAAGUGAAGAGAUCAGAAAUCACAAGAGGGCUUUUUAGCCCACUGCCCGCAUAAUUUCAACCUAACCUAGCAGUGACACGCUCUUCAUUCUCCCGGCCCCAGAAAGGCCAAUAAGAAAACCCAGAUAUUUUAUUUCACCUAUUAGGUGUUAAAAAAUUCAUAGUUAAAAGAAUGGAGAGGUUCACCAAUCAGCAGCUAAUGUACCUUUAAGGGCUGAGGUGAGCCGGUCUCCUAGCAACAGCCAGGUUUGCAGCAGGUGGACAAUUAGGUUUUAGUAUCACAUUAGUUAAAAGAGGCCCUGCGGGGGGAAGAAGGUCAGGGACGUUUUAACUGGAUAGCAGUACUGUCUGGGUUUAGAGACUCCACAGAAGACCCGAGUGACGGACGAGAGUCGAGUUGGACCUUCCGGUCGGGAAUCACGCUUUUUUGAAGGCAAUUGGUUGGAGUCGAAAUCGCAGACGCAAGAUAAGCAAGACUCCACAGAAGACCCGAGUGACGGACGAGAGUCGAGUUGGACCUUCCGGUCGGGAAUCACGCUUUUUUGAAGGCAAUUGGUUGGAGUCGAAAUCGCAGACGCAAGAUAAGCAGUAGGAACAUUAUUCUUUUAUUUAUUGUCUUACUUACAUUAUUGUCUUAAUGAUGUGGAAAGGCAAAGAUAGGAGAGGUUGUGUGGAUCGAUACCUGCCACGUGGGCGAGUGGGUAUCUCUGGUUAGUGUCCCUGGGGAUUCCUUCUUAACCACGGUCAGGUUAAAAAUAGUCCAGAACUUUCAUUAUGUGAAAAUUCUGGAAAAAUAGUCCCAACUACCUAAGGGAAUUAAGAAGUAGGCCUACAGAUUCUCCGCAUGGCCUGAGUGAGGCCCAAGGAGCUAGGCCGCCCUGGAAUUAAACCCUUAGAAGUAGUAUGACCUGUACAAUUUUGUGCCUUUCGUUGUCUGGUCUAGGGGGUAGCACAUACGCCAAGCGUGAUUGGCUUGGUUUAAGCCAUUUCAGGGGAGGUGUCGCCUUUCAUUGUCUGGUCCAGGGGUAAUACACACGGCAAGCUUGAUCAACUUGACGGAGCCGGCUCGGGGAGGGUGUCUAAUGUAAAGGCUCGAAACACCCGACGAUCCGAGAGUGCAUUACUGAUGAUGUGUCCUGGCACAUGAUAAUGAGAGGUUUCGAUUUUCCUAUACAAGCAGCUGGCUUAGGAGCUCAGACUUUAAAUUCUGCAGACUAACCUUUGCCAGCUAAACAUAUAGAUCCACCAGCCCUACACUUAAACCUAAUCCUAAAGUCCAAAAGGGGCAUACACCCCCAUAAAUAGGCAAAUUCCAAGAGGGGUAGUCACCCCCAUAAACCCUAGGCAACUUCCAAGGGGGGCAUACACCCCCACAAACCCUAGGCAUUCCCCGAUUAACUUUUGAUAUUCUGAGAAGGGUAGGAUUCAACAAGGGCAAGUGUGGGACCUGGUUAAUGAAGGCGUGGGCCAGAUCAAAGUGGCAGGGUGAUGUGAAACAGAAUCUCAAGUGAAGAGAUCAGAAAUCACAAGAGGGCUUUUUAGCCCACUGCCCGCAUAAUUUCAACCUAACCUAGCAGUGACACGCUCUUCAUUCUCCCGGCCCCAGAAAGGCCAAUAAGAAAACCCAGAUAUUUUAUUUCACCUAUUAGGUGUUAAAAAAUUCAUAGUUAAAAGAAUGGAGAGGUUCACCAAUCAGCAGCUAAUGUACCUUUAAGGGCUGAGGUGAGCCGGUCUCCUAGCAACAGCCAGGUUUGCAGCAGGUGGACAAUUAGGUUUUAGUAUCACAUUAGUUAAAAGAGGCCCUGCGGGGGGAAGAAGGUCAGGGACGUUUUAACUGGAUAGCAGUACUGUCUGGGUUUAGAGACUCCACAGAAGACCCGAGUGACGGACGAGAGUCGAGUUGGACCUUCCGGUCGGGAAUCACGCUUUUUUGAAGGCAAUUGGUUGGAGUCGAAAUCGCAGACGCAAGAUAAGCAGUAGGAACAUUAUUCUUUUAUUUAUUGUCUUACUUACAUUAUUGUCUUAAUGAUGUGGAAAGGCAAAGAUAGGAGAGGUUGUGUGGAUCGAUACCUGCCACGUGGGCGAGUGGGUAUCUCUGGUUAGUGUCCCUGGGGAUUCCUUCUUAACCACGGUCAGGUUAAAAAUAGUCCAGAACUUUCAUUAUGUGAAAAUUCUGGAAAAAUAGUCCCAACUACCUAAGGGAAUUAAGAAGUAGGCCUACAGAUUCUCCGCAUGGCCUGAGUGAGGCCCAAGGAGCUAGGCCGCCCUGGAAUUAAACCCUUAGAAGUAGUAUGACCUGUACAAUUUUGUGCCUUUCGUUGUCUGGUCUAGGGGGUAGCACAUACGCCAAGCGUGAUUGGCUUGGUUUAAGCCAUUUCAGGGGAGGUGUCGCCUUUCAUUGUCUGGUCCAGGGGUAAUACACACGGCAAGCUUGAUCAACUUGACGGAGCCGGCUCGGGGAGGGUGUCUAAUGUAAAGGCUCGAAACACCCGACGAUCCGAGAGUGCAUUACUGAUGAUGUGUCCUGGCACAUGAUAAUGAGAGGUUUCGAUUUUCCUAUACAAGCAGCUGGCUUAGGAGCUCAGACUUUAAAUUCUGCAGACUAACCUUUGCCAGCUAAACAUAUAGAUCCACCAGCCCUACACUUAAACCUAAUCCUAAAGUCCAAAAGGGGCAUACACCCCCAUAAAUAGGCAAAUUCCAAGAGGGGUAGUCACCCCCAUAAACCCUAGGCAACUUCCAAGGGGGGCAUACACCCCCACAAACCCUAGGCAUUCCCCGAUUAACUUUUGAUAUUCUGAGAAGGGUAGGAUUCAACAAGGGCAAGUGUGGGACCUGGUUAAUGAAGGCGUGGGCCAGAUCAAAGUGGCAGGGUGAUGUGAAACAGAAUCUCAAGUGAAGAGAUCAGAAAUCACAAGAGGGCUUUUUAGCCCACUGCCCGCAUAAUUUCAACCUAACCUAGCAGUGACACGCUCUUCAUUCUCCCGGCCCCAGAAAGGCCAAUAAGAAAACCCAGAUAUUUUAUUUCACCUAUUAGGUGUUAAAAAAUUCAUAGUUAAAAGAAUGGAGAGGUUCACCAAUCAGCAGCUAAUGUACCUUUAAGGGCUGAGGUGAGCCGGUCUCCUAGCAACAGCCAGGUUUGCAGCAGGUGGACAAUUAGGUUUUAGUAUCACAUUAGUUAAAAGAGGCCCUGCGGGGGGAAGAAGGUCAGGGACGUUUUAACUGGAUAGCAGUACUGUCUGGGUUUAGAGACUCCACAGAAGACCCGAGUGACGGACGAGAGUCGAGUUGGACCUUCCGGUCGGGAAUCACGCUUUUUUGAAGGCAAUUGGUUGGAGUCGAAAUCGCAGACGCAAGAUAAGCAGUAGGAACAUUAUUCUUUUAUUUAUUGUCUUACUUACAUUAUUGUCUUAAUGAUGUGGAAAGGCAAAGAUAGGAGAGGUUGUGUGGAUCGAUACCUGC